AGUCGAGCGAAUGGAUUAAGAGCUUGCUCUUAUGAAGUUAGCGGCGGACGGGUGAGUAACACGUGGGUAACCUGCCCAUAAGACUGGGAUAACUCCGGGAAACCGGGGCUAAUACCGGAUAACAUUUUGAACCGCAUGGUUCGAAAUUGAAAGGCGGCUUCGGCUGUCACUUAUGGAUGGACCCGCGUCGCAUUAGCUAGUUGGUGAGGUAACGGCUCACCAAGGCAACGAUGCGUAGCCGACCUGAGAGGGUGAUCGGCCACACUGGGACUGAGACACGGCCCAGACUCCUACGGGAGGCAGCAGU
Molecule: ribosomal RNA, 307 nt
Filed under: Bacillus sp. B25E
Lineage: Bacteria; Bacillati; Bacillota; Bacilli; Caryophanales; Bacillaceae
Also listed under: 1 other name
Description: bacterial SSU rRNA
Rfam family: Bacterial small subunit ribosomal RNA
Source: RNAcentral